CAUUCUUUUUGGGUUCUCAUGGCAGUCUUCAGAAACAAUGGGGUUGUUGCCGUGUGGUUGGGGGCUCUCAUGCUCAUGGCUACCCUUCUGUCCUCGGAAGCAAAACCAACCUACAUUGGAUGUUUUGCGGCCAAGCAGAACUGCUUCCCGGAUGAGUGUCAGAAGACAUGCGAGGACAAUGUUGGAAGAGAUACGUUAGGUGAUUGCCAUCGUGAGCGUGACCACAAUAAACCCUAUCCUGGGCUUGAGUGUUGUUGCUUCCGAAAGGACACUCCAGCUCCAAUAAAUGAUAGAUGAUAGAACGCAUUCAUACAUAGGACCAUCCGUUCGAUCCACCUUUUGUGGAUCUAAUAAAUGAAUUUCACAGAAAUCAUAUUAAAAAAGUCAUUACCUACUGCAUCAAGAAGUAUGUGUUAAAAUUAUUGAUGAUGGAAAUAAUAAUAUUAUUGCUUUU
Hordeum vulgare subsp. vulgare (domesticated barley) is the source of this 454-nucleotide long non-coding RNA. RefSeq lists it as uncharacterized. The transcript has 2 exons. NCBI's taxonomy places the organism in Eukaryota, Viridiplantae, Streptophyta, Magnoliopsida, Poales, Poaceae. The record is from RefSeq and is a predicted model, not a curated record.